This 287-nucleotide long non-coding RNA is filed under the name Nicotiana benthamiana. RNAcentral describes it as "long non-coding RNA (NBEN_LNC033214)". The record is from RNAcentral. Lineage: Eukaryota; Viridiplantae; Streptophyta; Magnoliopsida; Solanales; Solanaceae.
UCUGGUAUUUCUUGAGGCAAUGGAACAGUAACCACCGGAGGAUUCAAUGGAACAGUAGUACCUACCAUCUGCACAGUAUUAACUGCAUUUCAGAAGACUAAAUCACUCGCAUAAAUUGGAACUAGUUCCUUUCUUGGGCGACCUCUCCUCUUUGCCAUAACUAAUUCUGCUAGGUUUACUUACCUUAGCAGCUGCAAUGGAGAAGAAGAAGACGAUGAAACAGUGUAGAAGAUGAAGAAAAGUAGAGAGAAGGCGGAGCUUCUCUCUCUAAGCCAUUUCGUUUGGAU